GAGUUUUGAUCAUGGCUCAGGAUGAACGCUAGCUACAGGCUUAACACAUGCAAGUCGAGGGGAAACGAUAUUGGAAGCUUGCUUCCGAUAGGCGUCGACCGGCGCACGGGUGAGUAACGCGUAUCCAACCUGCCCACCACUUGGGGAUAACCUUGCGAAAGUAAGACUAAUACCCAAUGAUAUCUCUAGAAGACAUCUGAAAGAGAUUAAAGAUUUAUCGGUGAUGGAUGGGGAUGCGUCUGAUUAGCUUGUUGGCGGGGUAACGGCCCACCAAGGCAACGAUCAGUAGGGGUUCUGAGAGGAUGAACGACCACACUGGAACUGAGACACGGUCCAGACUCCUACGGGAGGCAGCA
This 356-nucleotide ribosomal RNA is filed under the name uncultured bacterium. RNAcentral's name for it is "bacterial SSU rRNA". It matches the Rfam family "Bacterial small subunit ribosomal RNA", at positions 9 to 353 of the family's 1533-position model. The record is from RNAcentral.